GGCUGCCCUGACGUUAGCAUGGCCGCGGCCCCUGACUGCCCAGCUCGCUUCUAUCCCUCGAGCGGCAGGAAUCCGUCCCCACGCCCUUUUCCUUUAAAGGGCAACGGGCCGAAGGUGGGGCGGGCGGCGCGGCUCCCGCGAUCCAUUCAGGUCAAAAGGGAGAGUGAUCAAACAGGAGAGCCGAGGGGACCUAUAUUCAGAGACUUAACCGGACACCUGGACAGACCAUUACAACUUGGGACUUUUCAGGAGAAUGAGGGAAAUAUAGUUAUUGCACCUGAGCCUCACUCCAGCUCUGAGGUCCUCUUCACUUCUCUUUCGAAGAAGAUUUGAUAUCUUUUCCAAGUUGAAAGAGUAGAGAUCUAAUUUCUCCAAGGGUCAUUGCUUUUUGACACGGGAUUAUUAGAAGCAUUCAUUCAUCUAUCAAGGAGUUUUGGGAUACUUGCCAUAAGCCAAGCCCUCUGAUAGGUGCUGGAAACAUCAAGCUCUGUGCUCAGGAAGUUCACCCCUGGACUCCAUCCGUGAACUCCUUUGCUGUCUUCCCAUUGGAUUCAGCCAGUCCACGGUCCUGGAGCAAAUUCAGGACCUGACACGUAAGAACUGGUGGAGAAUUACCUGCAGAAUAGAUGUUGAAUCUUUGUGCCUCUCUGCUCUCCAAGAAGAUGGCAUGCUCCUUGAUGACAAGAGCCACCUCUGAUCUCCCCCAUCCAGUCAACAUCUUCCAGAAAACAGACUAUCAAUAUGGAUUUGCAGCAUGUAUUGUGAUUGUUUAACAUAAUUUUCCAACAGCUAAUUAUGUGUGGCCACUAUACAUAGAUAUUUCUUUAGCUCAUAUUUUAAUACAUUUCCUGUCAUUCUACAUUACAUAUGUGAAAGACCUUCAACCCAGUUUAGUUUAUAUAUAAUAAGUACAAAAGGGAAAAAAGAAAGCUUCCUUUUGUCACCUCUUUGGGGACUUCUUCAGCCUUUUUUCCAGAUGUGGAAUCCAGAUUGUGUUAUUUUCUUUCCAGACUUGGCUUAGGAGCAAUAUGUCAAGAGUCAGCAAAGCCUCAAGAAUCAUCCAGCUCUUUUCUCCUCUUCAAAACUGCCCUUCUUUUCUCUGAACAUUAAUGUAUCUCUCUGUAUCAUUUAUCUAUUGUUGUGCAGCAAACUACCUCAAAACCUAGCACUUUCAGACAGCAAACACUUAUCAGUUUACAGAGUUUCUGAGAUCAGAAAUCAAGGAGUGGCUCACGUCAGUGGUUCUGGCUCAGUCUCUCAUGGGGCUGCAGUGGAGGUGCAGAAUCUGAUGGGGCUGACGGCUCACUUCCAAGCUCACUGGUGUGGCUGUUGUCAGGACAACUCAGCUCCCUGCCACACGGUCCUCUCCAUAGAACGCUUAUAACACAGCAGCUGGCUUCCCCAAGAGUAAGUGAUUCAAGAGAGCAAGCCACCAAGGCUGGGUGCGGUGGCUCAUGCCUGUAAUCCCAGCACUUUGGGAGGCGGAGGUGGAUGGAUCACCUGAGGUCAGGAGUGUGAGACCAGCCUGGCCAACAGAGUGAAACCCUGUCUCUACGAAAAAUACAAAAAUUAGCCAGGCAUGAUGUGAUGAUGGUGGGCGCCUGUGAUCCCAGCUACUCUGGAGGCUGAGGCAAGAGAAUUGCUUGAUCCUGGCAGGCAGAGGUUGCAGUGAGCUGAGAUAAAAAAGAGAGAGCAAGCCACCAAAUGGGAACCACACACCCUUUUAUAAUCUGGUCUCUGAAGUCAUCCAUUGUAUCCUAUUCUGUAGAAGUAAAUCACUAAGUCCAGUUCCGGAAGGGCAAUUAGACUCUAUCUCUUGAAGGAAGAAGUAUGAAUUUUUGCAUGGACAGUCAUGCACUGCCUAAUGACGUUUUGUCAAUGAUGGACCACAUAUAUAACGGUGGUCCCAUUAGAUAAUAAUGGAACUGAACAAUUCCUGCUGCCUAAUGACACGGAGGCCACCAUAACAUCAUAGUGCGGACAUUCCUUAUGUGUUUGUGGUGAUGCUGGUGGAAACAAACCUACUGUGCUGCCAGUUGUACAAAUGUCUAGGCCAUACAACUAUGUACAGUGCGUAAUACUUGAAAAUAGUAACAAAUGACUAUGUUACUA
RNAcentral lists this non-coding RNA (2112 nucleotides) under Pongo abelii (Sumatran orangutan). Lineage: Eukaryota; Metazoa; Chordata; Mammalia; Primates; Hominidae. The record is from RNAcentral.